This 379-nucleotide ribosomal RNA is filed under the name uncultured bacterium. Its description in RNAcentral is "bacterial SSU rRNA". It matches the Rfam family "Bacterial small subunit ribosomal RNA", at positions 28 to 407 of the family's 1533-position model. The record is from RNAcentral.
GACGAACGCUGGCGGCGUGCUUAACACAUGCAAGUCGAGCGGGUAAGGCCCUUUCGGGGGUACACGAGCGGCGAACGGGUGAGUAACACGUGGGUGACCUGCCCUCAGCUCUGGGAUAAGCCUGGGAAACCGGGUCUAAUACUGGAUAUGACUCCAUGACGCAUGUUGUGGGGUGGAAAGCCUUGUGCGGCUGAGGAUGGGCCCGCGGCCUAUCAGCUUGUUGGUGGGGUGANGGCCUACCAAGGCGACGACGGGUAGCCGGCCUGAGAGGGCGACCGGCCACACUGGGACUGAGACACGGCCCAGACUCCUACGGGAGGCAGCAGUGGGGAAUCUUGCGCAAUGGGCGAAAGCCUGACGCAGCGACGCCGCGUGAGGG